AUCUGGCUGUGACUUCUGUCACCCCAUUGCUCACCAGGGUUGAUUUGGUUCAUCUGGCUGAGUCAGUCUGAAGCCAU
Ochotona princeps (American pika) is the source of this 77-nucleotide unclassified non-coding RNA. Its record names the gene 7SK. It matches the Rfam family "7SK RNA". From Rfam's summary of the family: 7SK was discovered as an abundant small nuclear RNA in the mid-70s but a possible function has only recently been suggested. Two independent studies have found that 7SK RNA binds the CDK9/cyclin T complex (known as elongation factor P-TEFb). NCBI's taxonomy places the organism in Eukaryota, Metazoa, Chordata, Mammalia, Lagomorpha, Ochotonidae. The record is from Ensembl.